UCGACUCGAGCGCCAGCGAGAGAACGUUGCCGCAGGCAACGGCCCGAAGGGCGAGGAGCGAUAGCGACGAGUUAUCCUUCCCCCACCACCA
RNAcentral lists this small RNA (91 nucleotides) under Klebsiella variicola. RNAcentral describes it as "partial RtT sRNA". It matches the Rfam family "RtT RNA", at positions 43 to 130 of the family's 130-position model. From Rfam's summary of the family: This family represents a bacterial cis-regulatory element known as RtT RNA. The record is from RNAcentral. Lineage: Bacteria; Pseudomonadati; Pseudomonadota; Gammaproteobacteria; Enterobacterales; Enterobacteriaceae.